UCUUUACUUACAAAUUCACUCAGGAAAUACUGAAAGCCACAUAUGAGAACUGCAAGGUCUUGUUAAGAUCAGACCUUAUCAAAUCUAGUUCCGAGGAGCGCUCCUUGCU
Long non-coding RNA from Zea mays, 109 nucleotides. RefSeq lists it as uncharacterized. The record is from RefSeq and is a predicted model, not a curated record. Lineage: Eukaryota; Viridiplantae; Streptophyta; Magnoliopsida; Poales; Poaceae. The transcript has 2 exons.